ACUCCUACGGGAGGCAGCAGUGAGGAAUAUUGGUCAAUGGACGCAAGUCUGAACCAGCCAUGCCGCGUGCAGGAUGACGGUCCUAUGGAUUGUAAACUGCUUUUGUACGAGAAGAAACACUCCUAUGUAUAGGAGCUUGACGGUAUCGUAAGAAUAAGGAUCGGCUAACUCCGUGCCAGCAGCCGCGGUAAU
This 192-nucleotide ribosomal RNA is filed under the name uncultured Bacteroidota bacterium. RNAcentral's name for it is "uncultured Bacteroidetes bacterium partial 16S ribosomal RNA". It matches the Rfam family "Bacterial small subunit ribosomal RNA", at positions 335 to 524 of the family's 1533-position model. The record is from RNAcentral. Lineage: Bacteria; Pseudomonadati; Bacteroidota.